This 690-nucleotide unclassified non-coding RNA is filed under the name Chrysosporium undulatum. RNAcentral describes it as "sequence contains 18S rRNA gene, ITS1, 5.8S rRNA gene, ITS2, 28S rRNA gene". The stretch from base 306 to 459 matches the Rfam family "5.8S ribosomal RNA". The record is from RNAcentral. Lineage: Eukaryota; Fungi; Ascomycota; Eurotiomycetes; Onygenales; Onygenaceae.
GUAACAAGGUUUCCGUAGGUGAACCUGCGGAAGGAUCAUUACAGUGCCCCCGCGGCAGGCCCGCGUCUCCCGCCCCGAGAGGGGUGUGUUUCGACGGCGCUGCCGCAACCGGCCCCACACUUGUCUACCUAACCUGUUGCCUCGGCGAGCCCGCCCCCCGCCCCCCCUAAAACAGGGGGCGAGGGGCCGCCGGAGGAGGGGAAGCCGCCCCGGCUCCCUCGCUUCUGGCCCGCGCUCGCCGGAGGACCAAAUCAAAAAACCUGAUAAUUUAGUGACGUCUGAGUGAGAAAUUACGAAUAAAUCAAAACUUUCAACAAUGGAUCUCUUGGUUCCGGCAUCGAUGAAGAACGCAGCGAAAUGCGAUAAGUAAUGUGAAUUGCAGAAUUCCGUGAAUCAUCGAAUCUUUGAACGCACAUUGCGCCCCCUGGUAUUCCGGGGGGCAUGCCUGUCCGAGCGUCAUUGCAACCCUCAAGCCCGGCUUGUGUUUUGGGCGGCCGUCCCGCGUGGACGCGCCCCAAUGGCAGUGACGGCAGCCGCGACUCCGGCGCCCGAGUGAAUGGAGGUAAAAAAACCACCGCUCGUAGGCGCAGGCCGGCUCCGGUCUUCUUUAACUAGAACGGGGAGUAAGAUCCCCAAUCGGUUGACCUCGGAUCAGGUAGGGAUACCCGCUGAACUUAAGCAUAUCAAUAA